AUUUAAAUAAUUUAAUAAAAAUAUUGAUUUGUGGAGUCAAAAAUAUGAAAAGAUCAUUUUAAAUU
This 65-nucleotide transfer RNA is filed under the name Thaumetopoea pinivora (Eastern pine processionary). RNAcentral describes it as "transfer RNA-His". The record is from RNAcentral. Lineage: Eukaryota; Metazoa; Arthropoda; Insecta; Lepidoptera; Notodontidae. RNAcentral also lists the same sequence under 1 other name.